Non-coding RNA from Podarcis lilfordi (Lilford's wall lizard), 69 nucleotides. Lineage: Eukaryota; Metazoa; Chordata; Lepidosauria; Squamata; Lacertidae. The record is from the annotation of a GenBank genome assembly.
GGAUAGCUCAGUUGGUAGAGCAGGAAACUCUUAAUCUUAGGGUCAUGUGUUUGAGACCCACGUUGGACA